AGCGACAACUGCUUCAAUCGUAUGAGGGGAACUAGGACAGAACCACUGAAAUAUGCUAUUUAAAAUAAGUGACAUCAUUGCUCUGAAUAUUUUUCUUGAUUUCUAAUUAAAAUUAUUUAUUGUUAUGCAAGGAUAUAACAUACCAAAAAGAUGAUUGAGGACUUCAACAUGAGCAGGAGAGGCGCGCUUUCCACUGAAGCAAACGCAUACGGAUUACAGUACAUAGGUUUCAUCUGAUUUCCGCUUGAUUUUGGAUUAUAUCGGCUGUUUUCUUUGGAAUGGAGGGUCGUGAUUUUUCCGCUCCAGCACAUCUCCUCUCAGAGCGGGCCACUCUAGUGCAUCGCGCCGCCUCUCGCAUCUCCUCCUCCGGCCACGGCUCUGUGCAACAUACGCCUCAUUUUCCAGCCGGGAAAUAUUAUCCAUCUCACUUACCGAUGGCGGCGCAUUCAGGCAGUGGGCUGAUGGGCAACUCCUCAGCCUCCUUCAUGGGGACGUUCCUGGCCAGCAGUCUAGGCUCCCCUCCC
Molecule: long non-coding RNA, 524 nt
Organism: Sinocyclocheilus rhinocerous
Lineage: Eukaryota; Metazoa; Chordata; Actinopteri; Cypriniformes; Cyprinidae
Exons: 3
Source: RefSeq, a predicted model, not a curated record